AGAGUUUGAUCCUGGCUCAGGACGAACGCUGGCGGCGUGCCUAAUACAUGCAAGUCGAACGGGGUCCAACCGGUGGCAACACCGGUGAAGACCUAGUGGCGAACGGGUGAGUAGCACGUGAGCAACCUGCCCCGAAGACUGGGAUAACACCGGGAAACCGGUGCUAAUACCGGAUGUCCCCAUCAGACCGCAUGAUCUGAUGAGGAAAGGAUUUCUGCUUCGGGAGGGGCUCGCGGCCUAUCAGCUUGAUGGUGAGGUAAUGGCUCACCAUGGCGACGACGGGUAGCUGGUCUGAGAGGACGAUCAGCCACACUGGGACUGAGACACGGCCCAGACUCCUACGGGAGGCAGCAGUAGGGAAUCUUGCGCAAUGGGCGAAAGCCUGACGCAGCAACGCCGCGUGAGGGACGAAGGCUUUCUGAGUUGUAAACCUCUUUCAGCAGGGACGAUUGUGACGGUACCUGCAGAAGAAGCACCGGCCAACUACGUGCCAGCAGCCGCGGUGAUACGUAGGGUGCGAGCGUUGUCCGGAUUUAUUGGGCGUAAAGAGCUCGUAGGCGGUUCGAUAAGUCGGGUGUGAAAUCUCCAGGCUCAACCUGGAGUCGCCACUCGAUACUGUCGUGACUAGAGUCCGGUAGGGGACCAUGGAAUUCCUGGUGUAGCGGUGAAAUGCGCAGAUAUCAGGAGGAACACCAGUAGCGAAGGCGGCGGUCUGGGCCGGCACUGACGCUGAGGAGCGAAAGCGUGGGGAGCGAACAGGAUUAGAUACCCCUGUAGUCC
This 780-nucleotide ribosomal RNA is filed under the name uncultured bacterium. RNAcentral describes it as "bacterial SSU rRNA". It matches the Rfam family "Bacterial small subunit ribosomal RNA", at positions 8 to 796 of the family's 1533-position model. The record is from RNAcentral.